This 795-nucleotide ribosomal RNA is filed under the name uncultured Planktomarina sp. RNAcentral describes it as "bacterial SSU rRNA". It matches the Rfam family "Bacterial small subunit ribosomal RNA", at positions 28 to 871 of the family's 1533-position model. The record is from RNAcentral. Lineage: Bacteria; Pseudomonadati; Pseudomonadota; Alphaproteobacteria; Rhodobacterales; Paracoccaceae.
AACGAACGCUGGCGGCAGGCCUAAUACAUGCAAGUCGAGCGCGCCCUUCGGGGUGAGCGGCGGACGGGUGAGUAACGCGUGGGAAUAUGCCCUUCUCUAAGGAAUAGCCUCUGGAAACGGAGAGUAAUACCUUAUACGCCCUUUGGGGGAAAGAUUUAUCGGAGAAGGAUUAGCCCGCGUUAGAUUAGGUAGUUGGUGGGGUAAUGGCCUACCAAGCCUACGAUCUAUAGCUGGUUUGAGAGGAUGAUCAGCCACACUGGGACUGAGACACGGCCCAGACUCCUACGGGAGGCAGCAGUAGGGAAUCUUAGACAAUGGGGGCAACCCUGAUCUAGCCAUGCCGCGUGUGUGAUGAAGGCCCUAGGGUCGUAAAGCACUUUCGCCAGAGAUGAUAAUGACAGUAUCUGGUAAAGAAACCCCGGCUAACUCCGUGCCAGCAGCCGCGGUAAUACGGAGGGGGUUAGCGUUGUUCGGAAUUACUGGGCGUAAAGCGCACGUAGGCGGAUUAGUAAGUUAGAGGUGAAAUCCCAGGGCUCAACCCUGGAACUGCCUUUAAUACUGCUAGUCUUGAGUUCGAGAGAGGUAAGUGGAAUUCCGAGUGUAGAGGUGAAAUUCGUAGAUAUUCGGAGGAACACCAGUGGCGAAGGCGGCUUACUGGCUCGAUACUGACGCUGAGGUGCGAAAGUGUGGGGAGCAAACAGGAUUAGAUACCCUGGUAGUCCACACCGUAAACGAUGAAUGCCAGACGUCAGCAAGUAUACUUGUUGGUGUCACACCUAACGGAUUAAGCAUCCG